CGGCGGCGGGCGGGGCCGGGCGGGGCCGGGCGGCGGCGGCGGGCGGAGUGACGCGCCCCGGCCCCGCCCCGCUCACCUCCCGCCCCGCCCCUGCCGCCGCUCCCGCCUGGCAGCCGCGGCGCCCGGCAGCGCCUCUCCUGCGUGCGCUCCCUCCGCUUGGUACGGCCCACCCCGCCGGGGAUCAUGGCGAUUGAUGGUGGAGAACGAACUUGUGGUGUACAUGAACUGAUCUGCAUCAGAAAAGAUAAGGUGGCACACACAGUGCUCGGUAUUCCUUCUGUAAUAGCUGCUGUUUAUCUUUCUGAAUUGGGAAACUCAUUGGAAUUUCAGAAAGCCCUCUGAUGAACUUUCAUGAACUGUUAAUCUUGCUUAUCCUUAUUUAUUUUAGGAUGCUGUACUGAUUUUAAGAAAAACAAAUUUAUCAUGUUCUUGGAGACAGUGCUGUAUGAUUUUAAUGUUAAUUGCUGGGAAGUUAAAUUGGAAAGGUGUGUUGUUUGUUUUUUCAAGAUUCUGUGUUAUAUUUGAGCAUUGAAUUCUAAGCUCU
Molecule: long non-coding RNA, 544 nt
Filed under: Junco hyemalis (dark-eyed junco)
Lineage: Eukaryota; Metazoa; Chordata; Aves; Passeriformes; Passerellidae
Description: lncRNA (ENSJHYG00000009758.1)
Source: RNAcentral